This 899-nucleotide ribosomal RNA is filed under the name uncultured bacterium. RNAcentral's name for it is "bacterial SSU rRNA". It matches the Rfam family "Bacterial small subunit ribosomal RNA", at positions 8 to 916 of the family's 1533-position model. The record is from RNAcentral.
AGAGUUUGAUCCUGGCUCAGGACGAACGCUGGCGGCGUGCUUAACACAUGCAAGUCACGGGGGUCCCGCAAGGGAUAACCGGCGAACGGGUGCGUAACACGUGAACAACCUGCCCUCGUGUGGGGGAUAGCCGGGCUAACGCCCGGGUAAUACCGCAUACGUUCUCUUUGGGGAGUCCCGAGGAGAGGAAAGCUCCGGCGCACGGGGAGGGGUUCGCGGCCUAUCAGCUAGUUGGCGAGGUAACGGCUCACCAAGGCGACGACGGGUAGCUGGUCUGAGAGGAUGGCCAGCCACAUUGGGACUGAGAGACGGCCCAGACUCCUACGGGAGGCAGCAGUGGGGAAUCUUGCGCAAUGGUCUAACGACUGACGCAGCGACGCCGCGUGUGGGAGGACGCCUUUCGGGGUGUAAACCACUGUUGCCCGGGACGAACAGCCCUUUUCGAGGGGUCUGACGGUACCGGGUGAGGAAGCACCGGCUAACUCCGUGCCAGCAGCCGCGGUAAUACGGAGGGUGCGAGCGUUGUCCGGAAUCAUUGGGCGUAAAGGGCGCGUAGGUGGCCCGGUCAGCGUGCGGUGAAAGCUCGGGGCUCAACCCCGAGUCGGCCGUGCGAACUACUGGGCUGGAGCACUGUAGAGGCAGGCGGAAUUCCGGGUGUAGCGGUGGAAUGCGUAGAAAUCCGGAAGAACACCGGUGGCGAAGGCGGCCUGCUGGGCAGUUGCUGACACUGAGGCGCGACAGCGUGGGGAGCAAACAGGAUUAGAUACCCUGGUAGUCCACGCCGUAAACGAUGGGCACUAGGCGCUUGGGGGAGCGACCCCCCGAGGGCCGGCGCUAACGCAUUAAGUGCCCCGCCUGGGGAGUACGGCCGCAAGGCUGAAACUCAAAUGAGUUGACGG